This is a long non-coding RNA of Cicer arietinum (chickpea), 991 nucleotides long. RefSeq lists it as uncharacterized. Lineage: Eukaryota; Viridiplantae; Streptophyta; Magnoliopsida; Fabales; Fabaceae. The record is from RefSeq and is a predicted model, not a curated record.
UGAAAACAGAGAUACAAAACAAAAUUUGUAAAUUUUUCACAAUUUUUUCCCAAGUCUUGCUCCAAAACCUUUAUCGUCCAAAACCCCAAUUUCCAAACCAGUUUUAGUUUCCUCCAAAACCCUUAUCACCCAAAGCUCCUAGUUUCAUUUUCUUUUUCCCCCAAAAUCGCGACCAAAUCCUCUAUCUCCAUCUUAGUUUUAUGUUUCCCCAAUUCACAUCCCAUCCUCUUUCUUAGGUUUCCUCCCCAUUCGUGACCAUCCUCCAUUUCGGAUUCCUCCUCAUUCGUGAUCUCUCUCCAUCUCAAUUUACUCCUUGCAACCUCCCUUUGUCUCAAUUUGCUCCUCUAAUCCCUUUGUCUUUUUGUUGUCUUUUUCUUCUUGUUUGUGUUAUACAAGCUAUUUGCAGCGGUCCAACUUGAUUGUCAUCAAGCUCCACCUUGUGAAUAAAAUGGCAUCACCAAUCACCAUAUGAAUAUAUUCAACGCAAAACAAUGGAAGAGAAUUAAAAAGAUGGAGGCUCUCAAUCUGACUCAUCUCUCUUAAUCCCUUCACAAAUCUUCUUCUACCAUUUCAAAACCCUCAUCGGGUCUCCCGAGGCUUAUACUACCUGAGGAUCUUGAAGUAGACAAAAUGAAGCACCUGCAGAUACACGAUUUACCACCAACAGUCCAAACAACAACUCUGCCACCUACCCAGGUGACAACACAACCAACAAUGCAAGUGAUAAAACUACCACCUUUUCAGAUGACAACACCAUCAACACAAGCGACAAAACCACUACCUUAUCAUGUGACAACACCAUCAUCAGUCCAAGUGAUGGAAAUCAUUAUUUUGUUGCAUUGUCAUUUGUUUUCUACUAUAGGAUCUAAAACACUAGCAAGGAAGAAUGUUGAGUUGGUAGGAUUCACUCAAUCUACUAUUGAUUGUAUACUUAAUUGCACAAAUACUUAUUAUAUGUGUUUACUUGUAGAAAUUAAGAAGGUCGAAAAUA